Molecule: ribosomal RNA, 634 nt
Filed under: uncultured eukaryote
Lineage: Eukaryota
Description: SSU rRNA
Rfam family: Eukaryotic small subunit ribosomal RNA
Source: RNAcentral
GGAUUUCAGCGGGAGACAAGGGUCUACCUUACGGGUAAGUAUCUCUCAGGCUCCUGCAUCCUCAACAGGAACGUCGCUGCGAUUCAUUUCGUGGUACGGUACUGUUGACUUUUACUUUGAGGAAAUUAGAGUGUUCACGGCAAGCAAACGCGUGUAUACAUUAGCAUGGAAUAAUAAUAUAGGACCUUGGAUCUAUUUUGUUGGUUUCUAGAACUAAGGUAAUGAUAAAUAGGGACAGUUUGGGGGCAUUUGUACUAACGCGUCAGAGGUGGAAUUCUUGGAUUGUGUUAUGACAAACUACUGCGAAAGCAUUUGCCAAGGAUGUUUUCAUUGAUCAAGAACGAAAGUAUGGGGAUCGAAGACGAUUAGAUACCGUCGUAGUCUAUACCAUAAACUAUGCCAACUAGGAAUGAGACGGAUGUAUAUUUUAUGACCCGUUUCGCGCCUUAUGAGAAAUCAAAGUUUUUGGGUUCCGGGGGGAGUAUGGUCGCAAGUCUGAAACUUAAAGGAAUUGACGGAAGGGCACCACCAGGAGUGGAGCCUGCGGCUUAAUUUGACUCAACACGGGAAAACUUACCAGGUCCAGACAUAGUAAGGAUUGACAGAUUGAUAGCUCUUUCUGGAUUCUAUGGGU